CCUACGGGGGGCAGCAGUGGGGAAUAUUGCACAAUGGGGGAAACCCUGAUGCAGCGACGCCGCGUGAGUGAAGAAGUAUUUCGGUACGUAAAGCUCUAUCAGCAGGGAAGAAAAUGACGGUACCUGACUAAGAAGCCCCGGCUAACUACGUGCCAGCAGCCGCGGUAAUACGUAGGGGGCAAGCGUUAUCCGGAUUUACUGGGUGUAAAGGGAGCGUAGACGGCAGCGCAAGUCUGGAGUGAAAUCCCAUGGCUUAACCAUGGAACUGCUUUGGAAACUGUGCAGCUAGAGUGCAGGAGAGGUAAGCGGAAUUCCUAGUGUAGCGGUGAAAUGCGUAGAUAUUAGGAGGAACACCAGUGGCGAAGGCGGCUUACUGGACUGUAACUGACACUGAGGCUCGAAAGCGUGGGGAGCAAACAGGAUUAGAUACCCUUGUAGUC
RNAcentral lists this ribosomal RNA (440 nucleotides) under uncultured bacterium. RNAcentral's name for it is "partial 16S ribosomal RNA". It matches the Rfam family "Bacterial small subunit ribosomal RNA", at positions 338 to 795 of the family's 1533-position model. The record is from RNAcentral.